RNAcentral lists this long non-coding RNA (2465 nucleotides) under Pogona vitticeps (central bearded dragon). Its description in RNAcentral is "lncRNA (ENSPVIG00000022788.1)". The record is from RNAcentral. Lineage: Eukaryota; Metazoa; Chordata; Lepidosauria; Squamata; Agamidae.
CUCACAACCUUCCCUGGCCGGCUGGCCUCCUGGGGAAUCGAACUACAAACUCUCACCGUUCCCAGGCAGCACAACUGAUAGGCAGGGGACAAAGGGAAUUGUACUCCCUUCCUGCUGGAUGUGGAAUAAAAUUGUGUCCGAAGUACAUGGGGGGACAGCUAAGUGUGCAAAGGAGUGUUAUUGGCUUUGGGUUCUGAAAGUCCCAGGAAUUUAUUUAUUUAUUUAACUUAUCUGCUUCUGCUCUUUCCUUCUGCUUCUGCUCUCCAGACCAGGGUUGCUUCUCCCCAGCCAACUAGAACUGAUGGAAGCUCUGGAGGAAGCGCCCGACCCCUUUUUUGGCCUGAUGGAGCCUCUGCUGCCGAGUCCUUCCUCCAUUCCACAUGUAAGAUGAUGAUCUCCCCGCACCCCCCUGACCCAAGAUAAUACGGCUUGCUUCUUCUCCCUCCCUUCCUCCCUCCCUCCCUCUCCGUGCGCUGGAUCCGAGCUUUCCAACAAGGGAAGCGGAUGAAGCAACAUCAUCCUUAUAUCUCCCUCCGCUUCCAGGUUCGAAACAUCUUGGAAACACCGACUCCGGAGAGAAGCCCCACGGAACGUGCCCCGUCUUCCAUGCGUCGGAGGACAGGAGAGCCUCUCCUCACCGUCUCUCCCGACGCCAUCACCCUCCGGGAGGCUGAACCCAUUACCUUGCCGAGGUUUGAAGUAAGGUCUUCUGCUGCCGCAGGGAAAUGGGAGACGGAGUGGUUUCAUGAUCUCAGACGUUGGGGGUGGGUGGGUGGCCUUUGGACUACAACUCCCAUUACCCACCCCUCCCAGCCCGUCAGCCAUGCUGCUGGUGGUAGGGAGUUAUGGGAGUUUUCACCCAGAAAAGUAACUUUCUCCUUCUGUGCCAUGAUGUGGGUUCACACUGGACGUUUCAUUUUUUUCUCUCUCGGUGGCAGGAGGAGCGAGACCUCCCCGAAAUCACGGCUCAAGAGAUCGACAUGUUGGCUGAACAAGAAGGGUUCCUGGUGCCCGGUGUGGCGACACCCCUGCUUUCGCCCAGGAAACGCCGUUUGGAAGAAGGUGAGGGGAGAGGAGGAGGUGAUGGUGGUGGUGAAGGAGGAGCCCGGCUAGGGCACAGGUCUGCACCUCAGAGAGAGGUUUCUUUUCCAUACACGGACUGAGGGGAGAGGAGGAGGUGAUGGUGGUGGAGAAGGAGGAAGAGCCUGGCCAGGGCACAGGCCUGCACCUCAGAGAGAGGUUUUUUUUUCCAUGCACGGACCCAAAACGUGGAUUCACACAGACACACCCCAGAACCGGGACGGCUUUUGCCCCGUCUGGUCUUUCCAACCAGUGCUUGGAAAAGUUCCCCGGGAGAUGAUUCUGGGAAUCAUCCUCCAGAAGCUGGAACUUUUCCACUCUCUGUUUUCAAUAGGUUAUUUAUUGAUUGGUUUAAAAAAUAUUUUUUCUACUCUGGUCUGGCUCCUCCAAAAGGACCCGAGGCGGCUGACGUCACUGAAAGACGGACAUUUAAAGCUAAAAAACAGCCUAUCUAAAAAAGAAGCCUUGCACCAUUAAAAGACAAGAUUUGCAAUUUAAAACAAUAAGGAUAGGGGCCGGUGGGGAAGAGAAGACAGCAGAGAUCUCACUCCCCCACACCCGCAGGGCAGAAGGAUGUCCGAGACUUUUCUAGUGGCAAAACAUCUGGAGCAGCAAAAUUCUGGUGAAAACCCCCAGCUGGAGAGCCGUGCAGAGGAGUCGAAGCUCCCAUGGAAAAACAUGAGCUGCCAUCUAAAAUCCACUGUCCUGGAUUCAAAUCCUGCCUGGAGGCUCUGUGUUGAAGAGCCUGGACCACUCAGGCAAGGAGGGAAGGCAGGGCUGAGCUUGCUAGGGGGAAAGGACUUCACCGUGUGUAAGGUGGAAGACUUGAAGGGGUGUCUUCAAAAGGUGGCCGGAUUUUGAGAUUCGGGACGACGCUGCCCAGAAUUCGACAGGCAGGUGUGCCCUUUUGGGUUGGCCCGUCGAUGUACCUUUGGUGGGCAGAGUCUUGGAGCCGCACGUGGGAGUCGUGGUUUCGAAUGAUGACGGACCCAUACUUGGGGGUGGGGGUGGGAGGCUGUGGUUAAAAACCACUCUUCAAGCGCCUCACCUGCUCCUAAAACUCUACUCUGUCGUUGGAAGUGAGCUGAUGGGAGAGAGCAAAAAGAGGAAGAAAUUAAGGGAUGGCCUCAGGAUGAAGGGGGGGGGAUAAGGAUGAGAAGGAUGCCCGCCCACCCAUCCCGGAUGAGAGAGAGGGAAAGUGGGAGCUGUCCCUACUGGAAAACAAAGUAUUUUGAAGUGGCUUGGUAGAAUAGGCAGUUCAGAUCCGUUAACCUCAGAAAACCCCUGCUCCUGGUGGAGAUAAAAACAGCUAGCGUGGGCUUUUCACUCGGCCUCCUGCAAGAUAGGGGAAUAAAGAAAGAGAAACGUUGGAAGACUUUUGCUCG